UUAGGACGAACGCUGGCGGCGUGCUUAACACAUGCAAGUCGAACGGAAAGGCCGUCAGCUUGCUGGGGGUACUCGAGUGGCAACGGGGUGAGUAACACGUGGGUGAUCUGCCCUGCACUUCGGGAUAAGCCUGGGAAACUGGGUCUAAUACCGGAUAGGACCAUCGUUUUAGUGUCGGUGGUGGAAAGUUUUUUCGGUGCAGGAUGAGCUCGCGGCCUAUCAGCUUGUUUGGUGGGGUAAUGGCCUACCAAGGCGUCGACGGGUAGCCGGCCUGAGAGGGUGGACGGCCACAUUGGGACUGAGACACGGCCCAGACUCCUACGGGAGGCAGCAGGUGGGGAAUAUUGCACAAGUGGGCGCAAGCCUGAAUGCAGCGACGCCGCGGUGGGGGAUGACGGUCCGUUCGGGUUAGUAAACUUCCUUUCAACCAUGACGAAGUCUUUUGUGACGGUAGUGGUAGAAGAAGCACCGGCUAACUACGUGCCAGCCGCAGC
Molecule: ribosomal RNA, 494 nt
Filed under: uncultured bacterium
Lineage: Bacteria
Description: bacterial SSU rRNA
Rfam family: Bacterial small subunit ribosomal RNA
Source: RNAcentral